This is a long non-coding RNA of Scylla paramamosain (green mud crab), 1538 nucleotides long. RefSeq lists it as uncharacterized. NCBI's taxonomy places the organism in Eukaryota, Metazoa, Arthropoda, Malacostraca, Decapoda, Portunidae. The transcript has 2 exons. The record is from RefSeq and is a predicted model, not a curated record.
GUGUCAAAACAGUUCAUACCAGAUGGUAGCUUAUGUGUUUCAGUUCGGGGAAGUGUACCCCAUUCUUGUGGGCUUUAGUUCGAGAAGUGAGGUUUCCAGGGAACGUCGUACUUGGUUAUUUCCUCCUCAAGUUACAGUCAUCACCUCUAACGGGUCCUAAGUUUCCCUUGAGGACGUAUUACCCCAGUCUUCGUUGUAGUAAGAGGAAUGAUUUGUGUGAAUGUUGGCGAAUGUGUCGAAUGCUGCGAAUGUAAUAGAUUAUUCCUUUUCUAUGAGACGGGGAAUAAAGAGAGUGACGGAGUUAGUCAGGUGACUUCUCCAUAGAUUACCCGUAGAGCAGAGGGUGACUGGGGUCCAAGUUCUCUUUUCCUGUAAGUAUUCUGUAUGUGAAAGGUGUUGGUACAAUUUCCUACGGGAAGAAAUGUACGAGUCAGGUGACUCAAGGGUAAGUGGUUGAGUCAGUGUCAGCUGUUUAGUAGACCUUAUGUAUGGAUAGGAUAGGGAAAGUGUAUAGGUAGGAUUUUGCAUGUAUUCUUCACCGUGAGUUUAACUCUGGGAGAAUGGGCGUGUGUAACGCUCCUUUUUAUUAUUUCUGUGUUUCUUUGAGUCUUCCCAAUAAUUGUUUUCUUUUGUAGCUUGCGGUGAAGAGGAGGAUAAUAGCGGUAAUUAAAGGUUUAGUGAUUAUAUGAAAAAGUAUAUUUAUAAGGCGUGUAUUCGUGGGAGUGAUUUAGAAGUCUUGAAACAUUUGUUAUAAAUAGUCUUUACUUAUUUCAACUGUGGUUUUCUCUAAUCAGUGGUAAUACGAAUAAUAGGAUUACAUCAUGUUGCGUCAGCCUACCAGUAACUCAUAAGGUGUCAUUCCCUAGCUUAUAAAAUAUGUUAGUAAUUUAGAAUUCAAUUAUUAACUUCAACUAAUGUCCAGCCUAUAUGCUCACCUUGCUAGCCAAUUAUUCCUGCAUUUUUAUUUAAACUCAUGGUUCAGUAAAAUUAUUUGUGAAAGAAGAGAGAGAGAGAACUAGCUAAGGUUCCAAUAACUUCAGAGGCCUGGGGGUGGGUGUUGAGGGGGAGAGCACAGAAUGGCAUCUCCCUUCCCUCUGGCAACAGAUAAAAUAGCCGGUGUUGGUCCCACGUGGAGACAGGCCACAGAGUCUUGGGAAAGUGUUAGCCAUGUAAUGUUUCUUUAGUCAAAUAUAGUCUACUGUGAAUGUGUUGUGAGCAAUAUUAUUGCUGUAGAGAAGUGAUGGAUGAAGGCUGUGACGCUAUUUAGGGAUAUAACGGUGCCCAGAAUCAAUGGUACUCUUGAGGAGUUAUAAAAGUAAUUAUUUUCUUGUGUAUUCGUAGUGUUAAGUAACGGAGUAUAAGUGUAUAUGCCAUACCAGAAUUUCAAGUGCCUUUUUUUUUUUUUUUUUUCUAGAUUAACCACUCGAUAAAGUGUCAUAGUGGGUCAGUCAACCCAAAGAAUCCCAUCAGUAUUAUUCAUUUAAUUAUUUUUGCUAUUUUUAUAUUUUUCGUUCCUCAUAAUAAAGCCACACUGUAGG